Molecule: ribosomal RNA, 37 nt
Filed under: Cercospora canescens
Lineage: Eukaryota; Fungi; Ascomycota; Dothideomycetes; Mycosphaerellales; Mycosphaerellaceae
Description: partial 18S ribosomal RNA
Source: RNAcentral
CUGCGGACUUUCGUAGGUUAACUUGGGAGGGAUCAUU